Molecule: ribosomal RNA, 253 nt
Filed under: uncultured bacterium
Lineage: Bacteria
Description: partial 16S ribosomal RNA
Rfam family: Bacterial small subunit ribosomal RNA
Source: RNAcentral
CACGUAGGAGGCGAGCGUUGUCCGGAAUCAUUGGGCGUAAAGAGCGCGCAGGCGGCUUGGCAAGUCGGGUGUGAAAUCCCGGGGCUCAACCCCGGGACUGCAUUCGAUACUGUCAGGCUAGAGGUAGGUAGGGGAGAUCGGAAUUCCUGGUGUAGCGGUGAAAUGCGCAGAUAUCAGGAAGAACACCAAUGGCGAAGGCAGCUCUCUGGGACGGUACUGACGCUGAGACGCGAAAGCGUGGGGAGCGAACAGG